UACGGAGGGGGCGAGCGUUAUUCGGAAUUAUUGGGCGUAAAGGGCGCGUAGGCGGCAAUUCAAGUCAUCUGUGAAAUCUCCGGGCUUAACCCGGAACGGUCAGGUGAUACUGUUUUGCUAGAGUGCGGAAGGGGCAAUCGGAAUUCUCGGUGUAGCGGUGAAAUGCGUAGAUAUCGAGAGGAACACCAGAGGUGAAGACGGGUUGCUGGGCCGACACUGACACUGAGAGACGAAAGCUAGGGGAGCGAAUGGG
RNAcentral lists this ribosomal RNA (253 nucleotides) under uncultured bacterium. Its description in RNAcentral is "partial 16S ribosomal RNA". It matches the Rfam family "Bacterial small subunit ribosomal RNA", at positions 524 to 776 of the family's 1533-position model. The record is from RNAcentral.